AUGUGUGAGGUAAAUCUGGCUGCCACCCCAUUAAUUAACAGGACUGAUUCUGCUGAUCUGGCUGGCCAGGAAGGUGUUCCCUCUUCCCUCACCACUAU
This 98-nucleotide small RNA is filed under the name Rattus norvegicus (Norway rat). Its description in RNAcentral is "7SK RNA". It matches the Rfam family "7SK RNA", at positions 1 to 108 of the family's 331-position model. From Rfam's summary of the family: 7SK was discovered as an abundant small nuclear RNA in the mid-70s but a possible function has only recently been suggested. Two independent studies have found that 7SK RNA binds the CDK9/cyclin T complex (known as elongation factor P-TEFb). P-TEFb activates transcription by phosphorylating the C-terminal domain of RNA polymerase II. The record is from Rfam by way of RNAcentral. Lineage: Eukaryota; Metazoa; Chordata; Mammalia; Rodentia; Muridae.